This 338-nucleotide unclassified non-coding RNA is filed under the name soil metagenome. RNAcentral describes it as "partial contains 5.8S ribosomal RNA, internal transcribed spacer 2, and large subunit ribosomal RNA". The stretch from base 1 to 120 matches the Rfam family "5.8S ribosomal RNA", at positions 35 to 154 of the family's 154-position model. The record is from RNAcentral.
GAUGAAGAACGUAGCGAAAUGCGAUAAGUAAUGUGAAUUGCAGAAUUCAGUGAAUCAUCGAAUCUUUGAACGCACAUUGCGCCCAUUAGUAUUCUAGUGGGCAUGCCUGUUCGAGCGUCAUUUCAACCCUUAAGCCUCUGUUGCUUAGCGUUGGGAGCCUACCUACCCGGUAGAUCCUCAAAGUUAGCUGGCAGGGUCGAGGUUCGCCCUAAGCGUAGUAGUUCUUUCUCGCUUCUGCGGCUGCCUAGGCCAUCGCCACAAGCCUUUUAAACUUCAAUGGUUGACCUCGGAUCAGGUAGGAAUACCCGCUGAACUUAAGCAUAUCAAUAAGCGGAGGA